RNAcentral lists this ribosomal RNA (207 nucleotides) under uncultured bacterium. RNAcentral describes it as "partial 16S ribosomal RNA". It matches the Rfam family "Bacterial small subunit ribosomal RNA", at positions 568 to 774 of the family's 1533-position model. The record is from RNAcentral.
UGCGUAGGUGGUUUAAUAAGUUAGCUGUGAAAUUCCUGGGCUUAACCUAGGGUGGUCAGCUAAGACUGUUAAACCGGAGUGUAGGAGAGGGUAGUGGAAUUUCCGGUGUAGCGGUGAAAUGCGUAGAGAUCGGAAGGAACACCAGUGGCGAAGGCGGCUACCUGGCCUAACACUGACACUGAGGCACGAAAGCGUGGGGAGCAAACA